RNAcentral lists this ribosomal RNA (177 nucleotides) under uncultured bacterium. RNAcentral describes it as "partial 16S ribosomal RNA". It matches the Rfam family "Bacterial small subunit ribosomal RNA", at positions 355 to 524 of the family's 1533-position model. The record is from RNAcentral.
UGGGGAAUUUUGGACAAUGGGCGAAAGCCUGAUCCAGCCAUGCCGCGUGAGUGAAGAGGGCCUUCGGGUUGUUAGGCUCUUUCCCCNGGAAGGAACCCGGAUUGGGUAAUACCCAGUAUUGAUGACGGUACCGGAAUAAGAAGCACCGGCUAACUACGUGCCAGCAGCCGCGGUAAU